CCUACGGGAGGCAGCAGUGGGGAAUAUUGGGCAAUGGGCGCAAGCCUGACCCAGCAACGCCGCGUGAAGGAAGAAGGCUUUCGGGUUGUAAACUUCUUUUAAGAGGGAAGAGCAGAAGACGGUACCUCUUGAAUAAGCCACGGCUAACUACGUGCCAGCAGCCGCGGUAAUACGUAGGUGGCAAGCGUUGUCCGGAUUCACUGGGUGUAAAGGGCGUGUAGCGGGGCUGACAAGUCAGAUGUGAAAGCCGGGGUCUCAACCCCCGAACUGCUUUUGAAACUGUUGGUCUUGAGUAUCGGAGAGGCAGGCGGAAUUCCUAGUGUAGCGGUGAAAUGCGUAGAUAUUAGGAGGAACACCAGUGGCGAAGGCGGCCUGCUGGACGACAACUGACGGUGAGGCGCGAAAGCGUGGGGAGCAAACAGGAUUAGAUACCCCGGUAGUC
RNAcentral lists this ribosomal RNA (442 nucleotides) under uncultured bacterium. RNAcentral's name for it is "partial 16S ribosomal RNA". It matches the Rfam family "Bacterial small subunit ribosomal RNA", at positions 338 to 795 of the family's 1533-position model. The record is from RNAcentral.